AGAGCGAACGCUGGCGGCAGGCCUAACACAUGCAAGUCGAGCGCCCCGCAAGGGGAGCGGCAGACGGGAGAGUAACACGUGGGAACGUGCCCUUUGGUUCGGAACAACACAGGGAAACUUGUGCUAAUACCGGAUAAGUCCGUAAGGAGAAAGAUUUAUCGCCAAAAGGAUCGGCCCGCGUCUGAUUAGCUAGUUGGUGAGGUAACGGCUCACCAAGGCGACGAUCAGUAGCUGGUCUGAGAGGAUGAUCAGCCUCACUGGGACUGAGACACGGCCCAGACUCCUACGGGAGGCAGCAGUGGGAAUAUUGCGCAAUGGGCGAAAGCCUGACGCAGCGACGCCGCGUGGGGAUGAAGGCCUUCGGGUUGUAAACCCCUUUCAGCAGGGACGAAGCGAAAGUGACGGUACCUGCAGAGAAGCGCCGGCUAACUACGUGCCAGCAGCCGC
Molecule: ribosomal RNA, 447 nt
Filed under: uncultured bacterium
Lineage: Bacteria
Description: SSU rRNA
Rfam family: Bacterial small subunit ribosomal RNA
Source: RNAcentral